UUUGGAGGUGGUAGACUUUCACUUGUUUUAAGUAUUCAAUAUUGUUUUUAUAGUUCACUACAUGCAUUUUAGAAAAAUGUUACAAACAGGUCAAAUUUCACGUUUUAUAAUAGAAUAUCCUCAAAUAGUGGAAAGUUAAACUGAAUUUUCUUACAUUGCUGCGAUUUAGUCAAUUUGCAAAAUGUAUUCACAUGUUCUCCAUAUUGAAAUGGGACAUUUAACAGUAAUGUUUGUUGCCCGGAUUUUUACUUUAGGCACUUUUAAUCUGGAUAGAUGGUAACUAUAAAUUGAAUAUGCAGACGUGUUGAAUAGGUGUUAUCAGGAUUUAGAUGACUAAAAAUAUAUGUCAGCAGUAUUUCAGACUCUUAGUCUGCAUCAUUACUCCAUACUCCAUGAUACUUUAAAGAACUUUAUUAUUGAAUGUAUUCAAUUUUGAAUUGUAUUGCUGUAUCAACAACAGGUUUUUCCUAAUGGUCAAUUUGAAAUGCUUUUUAUCAAUGACUUAGAAGUUAUACUGUAUCAGCUACAGUGAAUCUCUCAGAUUUUAUGGUGUUGAGUGUUGUGAAGAGAAUGUGCCAGAGCCAUCUAAUAUGAAGGCUAUGGUAGCUGUCUAGUCUCUUUAGCCAACUUUGACUUUCUAUUCCUCUGCUGUGUAUGUCUGAGAUUUUUGUGG
This 673-nucleotide long non-coding RNA is filed under the name Bos taurus (domestic cattle). RNAcentral describes it as "long non-coding RNA NONBTAT010737". The record is from RNAcentral. Lineage: Eukaryota; Metazoa; Chordata; Mammalia; Artiodactyla; Bovidae.